This 5578-nucleotide long non-coding RNA is filed under the name Coffea arabica (coffee). RNAcentral describes it as "long non-coding RNA (CARA_LNC006610)". The record is from RNAcentral. Lineage: Eukaryota; Viridiplantae; Streptophyta; Magnoliopsida; Gentianales; Rubiaceae.
CAAGGGAAACUAGAGCUAAGAGUGAGGAACCAGAACUAGAAAUUUUCGCAGCCUGCAACAUCGAAUUCUUAGGAGAAAAAGGGUAAGAACCUGCACUAAUUUUUCUGUUUAUUUGGUAUAAUUGGAAUAACACAUGAGCUGCACGUGAAUUUAGUAAAGAAAAUAGGUUCUUAGCCAAGAUGAGAUGCUGUUUUGGAAGGAAUGAAGCUAACGAACAGAAAUGAAAAGAAUGGAAAGUUGUUUAAAUUUAGCUUAUAAAUGAUGGAAAAUGUAUGUGAUAAUCUCGUAAUCACCUAGUACACCUGAAUAUGUAUAUUGUAUGCUGGAUUCUAGCCAAGAAAAUUUAGUUUUGUUGCAGGAGAAUUUUAUUUGGAACUGAUAGCUAUUGGAAGAAAACUCUAACUUUCAGCCACGAGAUAAAUACUGAUCGUGCAGCUUGCCAUCCGAAGAAAAAUGGAAACUACAGCUAGGAAUGCAUGAAUUAUGUCCACUUUAAGUAAUAAAAGAAGGAUGAAACAGAUAGCUAGAAACGUAGGAAACAUACUCACCUUGAGUAAUAAAACAGGUUACCCGUAGGAACUUGUAGGAAUUGGAAAUUUUGCAUGGAAGAAAUCUGAUGCAGGCUGCAUAAGUUUAGCAGUCUUGCGCAGACUUGAGAUUUCAUUCAGUUUUCCUCUGAAUUAUGGGCAUGAACUGCCCUGUUUAGCUUUGGAUAACCUACAGUAAAUUAAGUAUCCUCUGCAUGAGUGAUUGAGACCAGAAACUAAGGAAGUAAAGGCGAGAAAAUGUCAAAGGAUAAGCUACUGUUUUGCUGGAAAAUUUAGUGACUGCAACCGAAAGAGAGAAGAAAGAAACUUUGGUGAUCCUCUAUAAACUUUAACUCCUAAACCUGUGUAAUAAGUGUAACAUGUUAUACGGACUUUAAACCUCAACUAAAUACUAAAGUAGAAAUGAGUGCAGGUUGGUUGGCCGAGGGAGUAAAGCAGAAUGUGCUUCUGUCCGGCCAUUUUUGACCCUGAAAAUGUGAGAACUGGAUGUCGAUGUCUUCAUAGGAAAUGUAGGUCUAUGUCUUAACUUCGAAACACUAUAAAAUUUACCUCAAUCCGAUAAGUGUAGCUCUAGUUAUGAUCAAAACACCAGAGGUUGGCAAAGCUGCCUUUCUCGUUGCCUUUCUUUUGCUCCCGAAUGUAUUUUGCUUUGAUGCUGGCCUUGAGGAAACCAAUUUUUGAACAGCAAUCCUUCUAAUUUCCAACUUUGUAAGCUUUCAUAAAUGAUAGCUAUAGUUGCUCUGAGAUUUAAUGACUAUAUAUAGUUUCACGAGUAGAGUUAAGCUAAAGCAAAUGAGAGGAAAACUCAUGAUAGUUAUAUACCUAAAUUGGCUUCUAAUCAUUUAAUAUUAUCUUCACAAAUAUUUUAAAGACUAUAAAAUUUGAGGGAUUGGUGUAGUGGAAUAAAAUUUAAUUUACGAAUAACCUAGAGUUUAAUUAAUUUAAAAGGGAACAAAUGGAGCGUCUAUAAGCUAUAAUUAAUGAAUAUUGAAUUGAGAAAGAUAUAUUCCUGAUUUAAAUAUUAUACAAGGAUACAAACUUGGGAAAAAUGUAUAAAUCUUAGUUUAAAAUAAUAAAGUUAAUAAAUCUUGAAAUAAAAUGUAAAAUAAAUAUUAAAUACUAUAUUUUGUAUUUUAAAGUCAAACUUGACUUUAAUCGACCAAAUAAUAGGAUAAAAAAUAAUAAGUGAACAUCUUCAAAUUAUAUAUUUACUUUGGAAUUAUGAACUUGUCUCAGGAAAUAGCUGUAAACCAGGAAACGAACCCCAGGCUCGAGAAUAAUUUAUUUGGGUAUUUGGUGAGUGUUUUCCGAAUUUAUGUGUUUAACUGUUUAUGUGUAUCUAAGUAAAAUUAUGUAACAAAUGUGCUUAUCAUGAAUUAUUACUAAAUGAUUCCUUGUGAAGUGUAUCUCAAUUGUCCCUGGCCUUCUAAGUCGAGGGCGUACUUUAUCGCACUUAGCUUAGUUGAGUUUGAAGGUCAAUAAUUGACUGAAUGUUUCUGUAAGUGUGCAUGAAUGUAAAUCAUAUGUGUGCCUCGCCGCAUCGGCUGAACUGGGCCCCAAAACCCUCUGUUUAACGGACUAUUAGAGCUAGCAAAGGGCUUGGUCGAGUAGGACAAUAGCUUUGGGUACAUGUUUCGGUAUACUCGAGUAUUACCAUGAGGUUGGGAGAUUAUUGAACUGAUUACUGAAUGUAGGGGAUUGUUUAUUGUUUUGGAGGACAUAAGGAGGUGAAUUGGGGGAAUGUGCAAUGAUAUUGAAAUGAAUGUACAAUGACAGUGAAAUGAGUGUCUUUGGACACUGAAAUGAAUGCUCAAUGACAUUGAAAUGACUCCCAAGAGGAGUACGUAUCCUUUUGAAAGUGAUUGUUCAGUGAAAUGUGCACUACUUGUUUAAUUGUACUGAUUUAAGUGUUUGUUAAAUGUUACUUGCUCGGCAAACCUCACUGAGUUUUAGCUCAGCCCUUUAGUUUUGUUUUCCUUACAGGAGUUGGUGGUUGGGAAACUAAUGAGGGAUCUUAGGGAGUUAACGUGAAGAUUUUUUGUGAUUGUAAAUCCUUUAGUUUCAUAUUAUGGUUGAAACUUUUGUAUUAAACUUGGUAUUGUAAAAGAUUUAAGCAUUUGGUUUUGGUUUAUCAAAAUAUUAUCUCUGAAGUUAAUAUAAGUAAGUGAGCCCUGGCGAGAGCCAGGCAGGCAAUCCGCUAACUUUUAGGAUAUGCCCUAGGAGAAGGUGGGGUCGUCACAUUUUAAUUGUAAAAAUUUCAUGUUUUUAUAGGUUUAAUGAUUCAAUCAUCAAAUGGCAUGAAUUGAGAAGAUAAUUGGAUGAUUGAUAAUGGUUUGAAGUGAUAAAAAGAGAAUAUGAAAUGCAAGAGAUGAAAUGCAAAUAAAGGAAGUUUCAGCUUUGACACCUUAUGGUAUUUCGGCUCUAUCUUGAGCUAUAAGUAUUGGAUUGAGGUGAUUCUUGAAUCAUUUUGAAACUAAGAGAUAAAUCUAUAUUUGGUAUGAAGACAUUGAGGUCCAGUUUGUGAGGACUUGCAAAAUUCUCCAUAUUUUCUCAAAAUUUCCUUUUAUUUUGAAUAAGUCACUUUAUAAUUGCUUUACCACUAAAUUACUCCCUCAAUAGUUGUAAUAAAUUAUAGAAUUGAGAGUUUUACCUUUACUUUUAAAGUUAGGGUAAACUAGGGUUUUUACGUAUUUUGGUAGUGUGAUUAAUUGGUGAGCUGUGUGUGCUAAAUUUGGUGGAUAAGAAUGAGUAUUAGAUAAGAGGAAGUGUGUGAUUAGAAGUGCUAAUAAUAAGUUAGUGAAUCAUAAGUUAAAACACAAGUGCGAGAGAGUUAAGGAAAAUAGGCUUGAACCGACGUGGACCGUUUGUUACCGAUUGAGUACACCACUUGACCAAUAUUUUCUUACCCUAAUCCUCUUGUUUUUAUUUCAGCUAAUUAACCCUAGAUUAAGCCCUAAACCAGCCAAAAAUGUUGACUAAAGAAAAGUGAGAAAAAAAAUAAGAAGGAAUCUUGUUGUGCCAAGUGUUGGCAAUCUAAGGGUGGUUGACCAAGCCAAAUUCUUUCCUUCUUAUCUUCCAUUUUGGCUAAUAUUCCUUCAUUAUUUCUUCUUGUUGGCCGAGAGCAAAGAGAGGAGAAAGAGGGAAGAAAACUUCCAAUUCCAACCUUGAUUUUAGCCUUGUUUGAGUUGAAUCACAAAAAUCAAACCGAUUAAACUUGCAUCUUGGUGCUUAGGAAGCUAGGAGUGGUGAAAUUCUUGGGAGAAAUUGCUUGGUUCCUCACUUUCAAGAAGGUUUUGGAAGGUAUAAGUUCAUCCACUUCUUGUCUCUACCUUAAUCUUGAUAGAUAUGCUAUAGAAGCUUUGAAUUUUGGAAUAUAUUGGAUGAUACUCUAGUUUUGGUGUUGAUUAAUGAAAUUUCAGCUAGGAUUUGGUAAUUUUCAGCCUUGAUUAUGUUGUUUAACUAGCAAAUGUUGGUAUUGAGCUUGGAUAUGGAAUUUGUGAGGUGAUUAGUAGCAUGAUUGUGAUUUUUAGCCUUAAAAGAUGAAAUUUCAGCCUUGGUGAGAAAAUUCCAACUUUGGUAUUGGUUGAUUAUUUGUUAGAAAUGAGUUAUAUUUGGAUAGUUUUUAGCCUAGAUGAAGAGUUAUCUUGAUAUUCUUACUUGUGGUGUUUGAAUUGGGUUGAUUUGAGGAAAAACAUGAAGCCUUAUAUGGCUAGAAAAAUGAGUAAAAACAAAGGAUAUGCUACCCAAAUUUUUCUUCCGUAGGAUAAGCGAGCGAAAUGGGAACUUGAGCCGUGAUUCGUGGUUGAAUUGAACUUGAACUGGUUAGAGUAUUCAAGUUUCCUUUGGUAGAGGUACAUAAGCUAAAUUUUUGCCAAAACUCGUACCCUUUAAAAAGCAAAAGUAGCGACCACUAUAAAUACGUUUUCCUCGUCUUUUAGACCAAGUUGUGAACUUAAAAGUUUUAAUCGCUUCCUUAUCAAAACCAAAAGAGCGAGCAUGAGUUUUCUAGGGUGUGAUAAGUAAAAUGAAUACUACUUAAAUGAGUUUCAUUUACUUGACUUUUUUUAAACGAAACUCCUAUAAUUUGAACUCAAAUUGGUUUUAAACCGUUAAAUGAUAUUUUAUCGCAGAUUUGAACUCUAACCAGGGAGUUGCACCUGAACGUGGUUUUGAAAAGCCAUAAGUCAUUGGUGAGUACUUCCAAGUGCAUGAUUGAACUUGAUACUUGAUUUAAAUGCUUUACCAACGUGAUCGGAUAAUAUUUGAUUGGUUUGGUCGGGUAAGGGUGUACUUUAUCGCACUUACCCUAAUGUCACUUAUUACUGUGCAUUGAUUUCAAUUGACAUGAUAUGUAUGACUUGAGUACUAUCUGGAAUUCCAGAAACCCUGUGGCUAGUUACUCGAGUCGAGUCGAUAAGGGCCUGAUCAAUUAGAUAACAAACCCUAGGUCUCUAGUUCUGUCGAGUGGAGUGUUAUCUCCUCGACUAAUUGGUAUGUUCGAGUAUUACCACCAGUGUUUAUCUUGGAGUUCGGGCCCGAUAGGGGGUUUGAAUGGUGGACGGAGAUUGGAGUUAAGUGGUGUACUACUAAACUGGUUACUCUAUUUGAAAGUUGACGGAGUGUCAACUAUUAUUUGGUAAAGUUAUGGCAGAGCUAGUUGCAAAAACGACGGUAUCCUUUUACUUGGAAAUGUUGAAUAUUGAAUAAUUGGCUAUACAAAGGGUUAUUGCUUAUUUUCUUGACUUCUUAUGCUCGCUACUUUGAUAUCCGCAUUUUUAAAUAGUGGUCAACAUGCUACUUGGGUUUGCAUAAUGUUUUGGAACCUCAUUGAGUUUUAACUCACUCUAUUAGUUUUGUUUUCCUUACAGGGGGUACAAGAGAGGGCGUGAGGCUGGUACAAGCUAGCUUUGUCUAGUUUUUGAAUUUUUGUGAUUGUACUCGCGCUAGUGCUCUAUUAGGGUUGAAUGUAUCCGGAAUUUUAACUAUUUUGAGAUAUUUGGGAUUGUAUGAGCCUUGGAACUUAACUUAAG